This 211-nucleotide unclassified non-coding RNA is filed under the name Hevea brasiliensis (rubber tree). The record is from RNAcentral. Lineage: Eukaryota; Viridiplantae; Streptophyta; Magnoliopsida; Malpighiales; Euphorbiaceae.
CUCGUAUUCUCCUUGUUGGCUAAAUAUAAGCUCACAUUCUUUGCUUCCCACUUGCUUGGACUGAAGUUCUUUGUCUUGACGAGAUCGAAUUUCGGGACUACCAGCAAUAAUACUAGAAGAAGGGAACCAUCUUUGUGUAUUCCACCAGUGGGUAAGCCAGGGGGUGUAGUGAGCAACAUGAACUGCCCACUGAUCCCGCCGAAACUGUUGG